RNAcentral lists this ribosomal RNA (254 nucleotides) under uncultured bacterium. RNAcentral's name for it is "partial 16S ribosomal RNA". It matches the Rfam family "Bacterial small subunit ribosomal RNA", at positions 524 to 776 of the family's 1533-position model. The record is from RNAcentral.
UACAGAGACUGCAAGCGUUAUUCGGAUUCACUGGGCGUAAAGGGUGCGCAGGCGGUUGGGUGUGUCAGAUGUGAAAUCCCGAGGCUUAACCUCGGAACUGCGUCUGAAACUACUCGACUAGAGUACUGGAGAGGGAAACGGAAUUCACGGUGUAGCAGUGAAAUGCGUAGAUAUCGUGAGGAACACCAGAGGCGAAGGCGGUUUCCUGGACAGUUACUGACGCUCAGGCACGAAAGCAUGGGGGAGCAAAAGGG